CGAAGUUCUUCCUUAGAUUCUGCAAAGAUUAUAUCUGGAGCUUAAGAAGGACCUUUCUGAGGGGACUACAAAUAAAAAUAUUAAACGGAGAUCUCCCACAUCCUGGUUGGACAGAGGUUGCUUUUAUUCAGGAGUGGUUUGCUGAGAGAGAAAGGAAGACUUUAGAAGACUUGGACAAAGCCAGUAAAAUUACGAAGUCUUUGUUUCCACCUCAGCAUUCUUACUGAACAAAAAAAACUGAGAUUUUUCUGACAGGAACAGUAAGCAUAAAAUAAAAGAUUGAUUUUAUUGAAGGUCCGCUGAGAU
RNAcentral lists this long non-coding RNA (306 nucleotides) under Numida meleagris (helmeted guineafowl). RNAcentral's name for it is "lncRNA (ENSNMEG00000010156.1)". Lineage: Eukaryota; Metazoa; Chordata; Aves; Galliformes; Numididae. The record is from RNAcentral.